RNAcentral lists this small RNA (99 nucleotides) under Ventosimonas gracilis. RNAcentral describes it as "t44 RNA". It matches the Rfam family "t44 RNA". From Rfam's summary of the family: This family consists of a number of bacterial RNA genes of between 135 and 170 bases in length. The t44 gene is found between the map and rpsB genes in all species in the full alignment apart from Shigella flexneri. The function of this RNA is unknown. The record is from Rfam by way of RNAcentral. Lineage: Bacteria; Pseudomonadati; Pseudomonadota; Gammaproteobacteria; Pseudomonadales; Ventosimonadaceae.
GUAUCAGCCAACUCAAACCACACAUUCAUCGACACGACUUUCUGGGUGCCGUGCAUUUAACCAGUGCAAGGUGGAAAGCGGGAUGGAUGGAGGCCAAAC